UGUAAGCGUAUACCAAAGUUGUUGCAGUUAAAACGCUCGUAGUCGGAAUUUGGCAGUUCCGGAUGUGUGCACGUCGUGUGCGCACUUCGCGGGGAUUGCUUUUGUGGUCUUGCGUAGGAUGAGGCACUUUUAUUAGUGAACGUCCUCACGCAACCACUUUUUACUGUGAGAAAAUCAGAGUGCUCAAAGCAGGCAUUUGCCGUGAAUGUAUUAGCAUGGAAUAAUAGAAUAGGACUUGGUUCUAUUUUGUUGGUUUGUUGGGACUGAGUAAUGAUUAAGAGGGACAGUUGGGGGCAUUUGUAUUUCGGUGCUAGAGGUGAAAUUCUUAGAUUACCGAAAGACAAACUGCUGCGAAAGCGUCUGCCAAGGAUGUUUUCAUUAA
This 382-nucleotide ribosomal RNA is filed under the name uncultured eukaryote. RNAcentral's name for it is "partial 18S ribosomal RNA". It matches the Rfam family "Eukaryotic small subunit ribosomal RNA", at positions 592 to 976 of the family's 1831-position model. The record is from RNAcentral.